RNAcentral lists this ribosomal RNA (430 nucleotides) under uncultured bacterium. RNAcentral's name for it is "bacterial SSU rRNA". It matches the Rfam family "Bacterial small subunit ribosomal RNA", at positions 355 to 776 of the family's 1533-position model. The record is from RNAcentral.
UGAGGAAUUUUCCGCAAUGGACGAAAGUCUGACGGAGCGACACCGCGUGGACGAUGAAGGUCUUCGGAUCGUAAAGUCCUGUCGGGGGAGAAGAAACCCAGUUUCGUGAAUAAUGAAGCUGGCUGACGGUAUCCCCUAAGGAAGCACCGGCUAACUACGUGCCAGCAGCCGCGGUAAUACGUAGGGUGCAAGCGUUAUCCGGAAUCACUGGGCGUAAAGAGCUCGUAGGCGGUCUUGUAAGUCACGUGUUAAAUCCCCGGGCUUAACCCGGGACAUGCGCGUGAUACUGUAAGGCUAGAGGUCGGGAGAGGAAAGCGGAAUUCCAGGUGUAGCGGUGAAAUGCAUAGAUAUCUGGAAGAACACCAGUGGCGAAGGCGGCUUUCUGGACCGAUUCUGACGCUGAGGAGCGAAAGCUAGGGUAGAGAACGGG